RNAcentral lists this ribosomal RNA (459 nucleotides) under uncultured bacterium. Its description in RNAcentral is "partial 16S ribosomal RNA". It matches the Rfam family "Bacterial small subunit ribosomal RNA", at positions 338 to 795 of the family's 1533-position model. The record is from RNAcentral.
CCUACGGGGGGCAGCAGUGAGGAAUAUUGGUCAAUGGGAGAGAUCCUGAACCAGCCAAGCCGCGUGAGGGAAGACGGCCCUAUGGGUUGUAAACCUCUUUUGCCGGAGCACAAAUCCCGGGACGUGUCCCGGCCUGCGUGUAUCCGAAGAAAAAGCAUCGGCUAACUCCGUUCCAGCAGCCGCGGUACUACGGAGGAUGCGAGCGUUAUCCGGAUUUAGUGGGUUAAAGGGGUGGAUAGGGGGUCCGUUAAGUCGGCGGUAAAAUUGCGGGGCUAAACCCCGUCGAGCGGUUGAAACUGGGAGACUUGAAUUGGCGAGAGGUACGCGGAAUGCGCGGUGUAGCGGUGAAAUGCAUAGAUAUCGGGCAGAACUCCGAUUGCGAAGGCAGCGUACCGGCGCCAGACUGACGCUGAGGCACGAAAGCGUGGGGAUCGAACAGGAUUAGAUACCCUUGUAGUC